AGCCAUUAUUGAUGGCUACAAUUGAACUGCUCUGCUAUAUUGCAAUCUCUCUCUCUCUCACACCACUCUUCAUCUCCUCUACUUUUGCUCAUUUCACACAAAAAGGAAAGAAAAAGAAAUCAAAGCACACUAGCUAGCUACUUGGUAGAGAGGAAGAAAGAUGGCAAGCAUUCCACUAGAUUCUACAGUGGGAUUUCUCUUGCAGAAUUUGGAGGAGUUCAUUAAGUACAACGCUAAUUUGAUCGGUGGAGCAGAGGAUGGUUUCAAAUCGUUGUCCCAAGAACUUGGUUUCUUGAAGAGCUGUCUCCAGAAAUGCAUGGAAAAUUGCAGCGACGAUAGCAUUCUGGAGAGUUUAGCCGACAACGUUCGGAACUUGGUUCAUGAAGCUGAAGAUGCAAUUGAGACUUACAUCGUUCUGGCCUCGAAGCAAAGAGGAAGAACUUGGACGAAGAAAGCUCUUAACGUGGUUGAUCAUACAAUGGAAAUUCGAAAUUUGGCGAAGAAGAUCAAGAGCAUCAGCUCAAAGGUGGAGGAAUUUUACAAGAACAAACUGCAGUUCAUCGCAAGUCAAACCCCCCCAAGAACACCAGAAAGAGGAAUCAGAAAGCCUCCUAUUGAUGAUAUUGUUGUUGGCCUUGAAGAUGAGACAGAAAAAUUAAUUGAGCUUCUCACUGAAGGAACAGAGCAACUAGAGGUGAUAUCAAUUGUUGGUAUGCUUGGUUUGGGAAAGACCACAAUAGCUAAAAAGGUCUUUAAUCAUCCAACAAUUGAGUAUCAUUUCUCCAUCCGUACGUUUGUCGAAGUUUCUCAAGAUUAUAGGAAGAAUGAAAUGUUUCUGAAAAUUCUGCGUACUUUCACUCGGAUCACUGAUGAAAUGCGAAGCAUGUCAGAUGAUGAUUUGGCGAUAUUAAUUAGGCAGAAUUUGAAGAAAAGACAAUAUUUGAUAGUCUUGGAUGAUGUCUGGACUACACAAGCAUGGGAUGAUCUGAAGGAUGAUUUUCCAAACAGUGGCGUGGGUAGCAGAAUCUUGAUAACUACGCGAGAAAAACCUGUGGCAGAAUAUGCUAGGAAGAAGAUUGAUCCACAUUUUUUGCGUUUUCUCAAUCCAGAGGAGAGCCGGGAGUUAUUGAGAAGAAAGGUUUUUGGUGAGAAUACAUGUCCAACGGAUCUAGAGGAGCAUGAAGCACCUAUCCUACAAAGAUGCGGAGGACUACCAUUAUCUAUAGUGGUAGUUGCUGGUGUUCUCACAAAUAAUCGGUAUGAAGUUCGCUGGUGGAAGAAAGUAGCUGAGGGAGUGGAAAACUGUUCUCGUACGGCUGAAUUGCAAAUAGAUUACGUUAUAAACCUAAGCUUCAACAAUUUGCCUUACCGUGUGAAGCCAUGUUUUCUAUACCUAGGGGUUUUCCGUGAGGACUUUGAGAUUCCUGUGCGGACAUUGUUGCAAUUGUGGGUUUCAGAAGGUUUUAUACCCCCAAGUAAUGGGAAUAGAAGCUUGGAGGAUGUCGCAGAAGAUUAUCUAGAGGACAUGGUUGAUAGGAGUUUAGUGAUGGUGCUGGGGAGGAGAUCAAACGGUCAGCUUAAAGCGAUCCGGAUUCAUGACACAUUGCGUGACUUCUGCAAGAAUCAUGGCCGAAAGGAAAGUCUUUUUCGAGAGAUAAGGACGCUUGAACAGGCAACCAAUUCAUCUGGAAGCACAUCAUUUGACAAUGACCGUCGCCAUUGCGUUAAUUCUUAUGUUCUGGAUUAUGUAAAACAUCAACCUGCUGGAAAGCAUGUCCGCUCGCUCUUGACUUUUGCAAAGGAGGAAUUGAAUUUGCCCGUGGAAUAUCACACCUCUUUCAUUCCUAAAACCUGCGAACUGCUGAGGGUGUUGGAGGUUAGAAAGAUCAGGUUGAGUCGUUUCCCCUCUCAAGUUUUUAACCUUUAUCUUUUGAAGUAUAUUGCCAUCACCUGCGAUCUCAAGAUCCUUCCUAAAGAAAUAUCGAACCUGUGGAAUCUGCAAACUCUUAUUGUUAACACUUCAGCACCGAGCCUUGAUAUAAAAGCCGACCUGUGGAAGAUAGCACGAUUGAGGCAUCUAGACACGAAUGUGUCCACAUCUUUGCUGGCAAAGACCAAGGCAGAUUCCUCAAUUAAUAUAAAUAUACAGACUAUUUCCGCGCUCUCUCCCGUGAGUUGCCAGAAAGAAGUCUUCGAGAGGGCUCCAAUGCUCAAGAAAUUGGGUAUAUGUGGAAAGUUGGUACCUAUUAUGGAAGGUAACGCUGCAUCCAAUUUGUUUGGUAGUCUUCAGAAACUAGAAUUCCUUGAAAAUCUGAAACUGCUGAAUACUGAUACAACUGCCAAGUUACUUGUCCUUCCCAAUGAGAGCAACUUUCCGAGCAACCUCACAAAGCUGACUUUAUUAAAUACCAAGCUUGACUGGAAAUAUAUGUCUACAUUGGGAAAGCUGAAGAAGCUUGAGGUGCUAAAACUGAAAGAGAAUGCAUUUGAAGGAACCUCGUGGACAACAGAAAAUGGGGGUUUUCAACGACUGAAGGUUUUGCACAUUGGAAGCACAGAUUUAACUGUCUGGAAGGCUUCUGCAAGUCAUUUCCCAAAAUUGACGCACCUUUUCCUUAGGCAUUGCAUUAAGCUUGAGAAAAUUCCAUCUGGACUUGCAGAUAUUCCCACGCUGAAGCUGAUGGAUCUUUAUUGUAACGACAAAUCCGUGGCUCUAUCCGCUAGGGAACUUCAGCGGGCAAAACUUCAAGUGCUAGCCCAAGACAAGAACGCGAAAGAUAGUGUGUUCAAGCUCUCUAUUUAUCCUCCAGAGUUAUGAAAAGCUCAUAAUCAAUGCGGAGUGCUUAUUCUUCCUUGAUAGGUAAAGCCAUCUCUGCUUCACGGAAGAAACUUUCUCAUUGGAGAAUUUCUUUGCUUCUGGGUUCUGUUAUGAUCCAAUAAUAAAGAACAAUGCCAGAAUUUAGUUAUGACCGUUGUUUACAUGAAUUGGUGAUUGGAGAUGCAACGGGCUAAGAAAGUCCGUAGCAAAAAGAGAGAGAGAAAAGAUGCUGUUAGGGAAAGUGAAGUUUCAAUUGGUGAGUGCUCGAGCAACUUCACAUUCGCAGUGCAAAUGAUGAUUCACAUUCAUUGUAUUGGGCUGAAAUGAUUCAUGUGUGCUAUGGGGAUUUGUGGUUUUUUAUGUUUAGAAAUAGUUUUAAUUGGUACAUUUCAAGAAGCUGGAUUUCUUUCCCUUUUCUUUUGAACAUAUAAAAUUGUAUUUGUGAUUUAUUUUUGUUGUAUUUUGCUGCGCAUUAAUUUCUCAUACAUUUAUGAUUAUAAACGCAGGGUGAAUGUUUUGUCUCAACCGUUGUCCGACGUACAGUAAGUACUAUUUUUUUUGGGUAAAUGAAGCUGCACAGAUUUUUUAUAUUUCUUGAAUUUUUCUUAAAAUUUCAAAUUUGAAAAGCUAGAUUUUCAAAAUUAUGUAAUGUUGAGGUUUAGAAGUUUUCUUCACAAGACAUCGUAAAGAAGUUUUGAUUUUUUUUUUUUAAUUACGUGCUAUCACUCUCACCCUCGUCAAAUUCACCCAGAGUCAUCACGAGGGAAGUAAAUCAAGGAUGUGCCUGGGUGAUCAGGGUUUGAAACUACAUCUACUAGCACUUA
Diospyros lotus (date-plum) is the source of this 3642-nucleotide RNA transcript. It is a transcript of the gene named putative late blight resistance protein homolog R1A-3, with no coding region annotated. The transcript is spliced from 5 exons. The record is from RefSeq and is a predicted model, not a curated record. Lineage: Eukaryota; Viridiplantae; Streptophyta; Magnoliopsida; Ericales; Ebenaceae.